GGUACAUUAGUGUAGCGUUUAUCACUUCAGAUUCUGAUAUUCAUCGGGUCACAGACAUUCCGACAACCCCGGUUCGAAUCCGGGAUGGACCU
Tulasnella sp. 427 is the source of this 92-nucleotide non-coding RNA. Lineage: Eukaryota; Fungi; Basidiomycota; Agaricomycetes; Cantharellales; Tulasnellaceae. The record is from the annotation of a GenBank genome assembly.